This 213-nucleotide unclassified non-coding RNA is filed under the name plant metagenome. RNAcentral's name for it is "partial contains small subunit ribosomal RNA, internal transcribed spacer 1, and 5.8S ribosomal RNA". The record is from RNAcentral.
UUUCCGUAGGUGAACCUGCGGAAGGAUCAUUCAUAAUAAGUGUUUUAUGGCACUUUUUUAAAUCCAUAUCCACCUUGUGUGCAAUGUCAGGGUUGAUUUUUCUCUCGAGAGGAUCAACCCCAAACAUCAACUAUAUCUCAACUCUUUGUCUGAAAAAUAUUAUGAGUAAAACAAUUCGAAAUACAACUUUCAACAACGGAUCUCUUGGCUCUC